This 424-nucleotide ribosomal RNA is filed under the name uncultured Clostridium sp. RNAcentral describes it as "bacterial SSU rRNA". It matches the Rfam family "Bacterial small subunit ribosomal RNA", at positions 356 to 794 of the family's 1533-position model. The record is from RNAcentral. Lineage: Bacteria; Bacillati; Bacillota; Clostridia; Eubacteriales; Clostridiaceae.
GGGGAAUAUUGGGCAAUGGGCGAAAGCCUGACCCAGCGACGCCGCGUGAGGGAAGAAGGUCUUCGGAUUGUAAACCUUAGUCAACAGGGAAGAAGAAAGUGACGGUACCUGUGGAGGAAGCCACGGCUAACUACGUGCCAGCAGCCGCGGUAAUACGUAGGUGGCGAGCGUUGUCCGGAAUUACUGGGUGUAAAGGGCGUGUAGGCGGAGAUGCAAGUUGGGAGUGAAAUCCAUGGGCUUAACCCAUGAACUGCUCUCAAAACUGUAUCCCUUGAGUAUCGGAGAGGCAAGCGGAAUUCCUAGUGUAGCGGUGAAAUGCGUAGAUAUUAGGAGGAACACCAGUGGCGAAGGCGGCUUGCUGGACGACAACUGACGCUGAGGCGCGAAAGCGUGGGGAGCAAACAGGAUUAGAUACCCUGGUAGU